GAGCCUCAUGUGCAGAGCAGACCUUGGGGCUUGGCAGGGAAGGAGGGGGUUGGGGUGAGCCAGAGGAGGCAGAAUCAGAAGGAAGCUGUGUCUAGGAGACUUUAAGUAGAAGUGAAAAGGGAGAGCCAGACAGGGACCGCACAAGUCAGGUACCACUGGAUAGAUGUCUUCUGGGCAGAUGAGCUUUGUGGUUAUGUUGACUGAGACAAGUCUCCCUCCUAAUGGGAUGAGUCAGAUCUUCCCUUCCAGUUCCAUCCAGGGGCUUAGAGCCCACAUCUAGAAAAAGGAGACUCUCGGCUCUUUAACGAGGAGUGUAAUUGCAGUGUGUGUGUUUCCACCUAUCAGUUAAUCAUGAGUAAUGAGGUAAAAUACAUCUUGAAGGGACUGAUUCAGAUGCUCUGAAAGAUGCUCUGGUCAUCAGGAACAGUGAUCGUCUUCUGUAAGUGAGCUGCGUGAGGAUAGGUACAGAGUGUCUUGGUCAUCCAAUGAUUUACACCAAUCAAGAAAAAUAUCCAGGAAUUAUGGAUUUAAUCCUAGCAACAAAAGGUUGGGGAGCUGAGGGGUUUGUUUCACCAAGAAUCUGCAGCAUGAGAAGGCACAUUUCCCAUCACCUCCUGAGACCAGUGACAUCUGACUCCACGCUUACAGAAGCUCAGCCAUGUUUUCACACCUGGUUAAGUGUCCGUGUUUCCUGGCAUCCCAACGAGAAGGUGAGGUUUCUUAUCUCUUCUGUGAAUUCAGUAUUUUUCAACCCAAGAAAAGUUCGGAGAUGACAUGUGAAAUUUUAUCAGCCAAGAUAAACAAUCUUCUAUUCUAAACCAAAAUAUUUUGUGGGACUGGCAAACCUCCUGAACUCACUGGGAGGUUUACUGAGCGAGGGUGGAAGUGGACAGUUAACUCAACCAGGGGUGUCUAACUCAAGGUAUUGCCAGCAUUUCUUUGUAUUAACAAGUUAACAAUUCAGGAGGUUUCAGCCAGACAACAGUAUUGUUAUUAAACCAUACUCACAUGCUUGCAAGAUUCACUGUGUAUCUUUUCCUGGGUUGCUCUGCACUGUGAUCUCAAGUAGAAAGUUGCCAAACAAUUACCCUUCAUGUUACCUGCAGGUGCUGUUAGUUUUGCUGUUGUGCCUUUGAUAUUUCCUCACAUUUUUUCCCCUCUGCCCUUUCACUCCAGAGUUGAAAGCUCUUGCAAAAACCAAGAAGUUUCAGUGCAUAAAGGUCUUUUUUGGGGCACUCCUGUCUCUGUUGUAUAUACAUAAAUAAGUAAGCUGGAGAAUCCCAAGGGCAUGAGAAAUAUUCAAAAGAGCAGAGAUCUCAUUUGCAAUCACAAUUCCAAUUCUCUGCAGGAAGAUGAUGCGCUACUUAGGGAGAAAGACGGAAAGACCCAGGAAUGGAAACGGACACUUUCUUCAGAAAUCUGAGUAGCUGUAUUGAAAGGCCAGUGGGGAAGGGUCGCCAAUAAUUCAUAUUCCAGGCAAAGAAAGGAUCUUGGCUUGUCUCCGUGAACAACUCCAGGUUAAGAAAGGGGAAAAAUACCCCAAUAUUUCUCUAUCUGUGUCAUCCGGGGCAGAGGUGAGGUCUUCGCAGACCUCGGAGCAGCCUCCUCCCUGUGUUUUCUCUAAGAGCUCAGGUCAGAGGAUACACCCCUCUGACUUGGAUAUACGCAGCUUCCCUUCACUGCUUGUGUGUGGAGUUGUGGGAUGUGUUCUGAGAAGCCGUUGUUUGCUCUUAUUUCCUUGAUUAUUUUCCGCUCCACACGAAGCCUUUUCUCUGAGGAGCUCAGGGCCACAUGCCACAAUUAAAGGACUUAAUUUGAAGUUCAAUUAUGUCUUGCCGGGUCAGUGAUCUGUGAGCCAAAUUAUCGAGAUCCUGCUGAUGACCUGACAAGGAGAAAGCCAACCAGGGCAAUUGGAACCAGGAAGAGGUGAAGGAAAUGUGGAAACAUGAAGAUGGGUUUGUGAGAGAAAGACUUGCCAGGAGCCAGAGGGUUCACAGCGAGGUCAUGGUGUAGUCAGGGGCCGAUUAGAAAGGGACAGGAGGAAAGGAGCCCAGGUUUGGGGAAAGCCAAUGAAGAGGUGCAAUCGAGCUGAGAGGGAGAAGAAAGAGUCAGUCAGGCAGGCAGAAAACACGUGAAACAGUCCAGGUUCUGAGUUCUCACCAACAGCAUUUCUUUUCUAAACUACCUCUUAUUCACAGUAGCCAGAGGAUAUGGGCAAUGGUUAUUAAUAGAAAUAUUAAUGGAUAACCUUCUUAUCAUUGAUAAUAAUGACAAUAGUAAAAUUGUCUUUAUUCAACAUCAAGGUGGACUGAACACAUAUAGUUCAAUAAGAACAAUAUGCAAUGGGAAAACUAGAAAGAGCUUUUAGAAAUUAAUAAUAGUUUAAAAAUAUUUAAUAGAGAGGGGAAAAAUUAAAAAUUGUUCAAAAGGUAGAAGAACGAAGAUGACUUUUAUCCUCAUCAAAGGAGAAAAAGAAGAAAAGUACAGUAAGUAAUACAUAAGUAUUUUACUUACAAUCCAGUAAGUAAAACAUCUAAUUAAUGGGAAUUCCAGAAAGAUAAACAGAGAAAAAAGAAGGGAGAAAAUUAUCAAAGAUAUAAUCCAAGAAAAAAUGUCAAAACUGAAGGACCUGAGUUUCUACACUGAUUCCAAAAUACUAAAAACAGAAAAAUACAAAGAAAGGUACCCAAGACCCAUUAAUAUGAAAUUCCAGAGCAACAAAAAUAAAGAAAAAACCUGAGAGGCUUCUACAGAUUAAAAAAAGUACAAACCAAACACACACAU
Long non-coding RNA from Odocoileus virginianus texanus, 2784 nucleotides. RefSeq lists it as uncharacterized. The record is from RefSeq and is a predicted model, not a curated record. Lineage: Eukaryota; Metazoa; Chordata; Mammalia; Artiodactyla; Cervidae.